RNAcentral lists this ribosomal RNA (301 nucleotides) under uncultured bacterium. RNAcentral describes it as "partial 16S ribosomal RNA". It matches the Rfam family "Bacterial small subunit ribosomal RNA", at positions 509 to 807 of the family's 1533-position model. The record is from RNAcentral.
CAGUAGCCGCGGGAAUACGAAGGGGGCUAGCGUUGUUCGGAUUUACUGGGCGUAAAGCGCACGUAGGCGGAUCGAUCAGUCAGGGGUGAAAUCCUGGAGCCCAACUCCAGAACUGCCUUUGAUACUGUCGAUCUCGAGUCCGGAAGAGGUGAGUGGAACUCCUAGUGUAGAGGUGGAAUUCGUAGAUAUUAGGAAGAACACCAGUGGCGAAGGCGGCUCACUGGUCCGGUACUGACGCUGAGGUGCGAAAGCGUGGGGAGCAAACAGGAUUAGAUACCCCCGUAGUCCCUGUCUCUUAUAC